This is a non-coding RNA of Drosophila virilis, 689 nucleotides long. Lineage: Eukaryota; Metazoa; Arthropoda; Insecta; Diptera; Drosophilidae. The record is from RefSeq and is a predicted model, not a curated record.
UGACAACAAAAAUUUGAUCAAUUUACAAAACUGGUCAAUUGACACCUGAAAAUUGUACGAUUUACAACACUGUUCAAGUAAGCGCAACAUGAAUUUAUAAAAUUAUUUAAUGCAUUAAGAAGCAUUCCAAGUUUUAGGAUCUUCAAUGAAAUUACAUUUGCUAGCUGCAAGAAAAAUUCGCAACAUAAUUAGAUACCAACUUUAUUAUUGCAAAUAAAAGAAAGAAAAAAAACAUCCGAGUUCGCAGCUCUUCGAAACAAACCUAAAAUGCAAACAAACCACAAUCGUAAAAAAAAAAAAACAGAUUAAGUACGCGCUAGCCAUGCGGUGUUUCCUGAACUUGACCUCCACGCGAACUACAACAACAACAACAACAACAAGAAUAACAACAACAAUAACGUGUUGUGUGCACACGUCACGAAUCGGAAUCUCAGCUCGAAGCUACCUUCCGAAAUGCCGCUCGAGUUGAUGAGGGCUGAUCAUGCGCAGAGCCUCAAACGAGAUAUAUACGAAGUUCUGUAUACCCUUGCUGUGCUAGCCUUAUCAUGAAGUGUGUAGAACAUAGAAGAAGAAGACAUCUGACAUUCCAAGAAGCAUCUACGAAUUGCUGCAUACCCUUCCAGAAGCUAUUAUAACAUUGUCGUGAAGUGUGUGAACGACUUGAAGGACCCAUAAAGCAUAUACAUAUA